ACGAACGCUGGCGGCGUGCUUAACACAUGCAAGUCGAACGAAAAGAGGGAAAGAGCUUGCUCUUUCCGGAAUUGAGUGGCAAACGGGUGAGUAACACGUAAACAACCUGCCUUCAGGAUGGGGACAACAGACGGAAACGACUGCUAAUACCGAAUAAGUUCCAAGGGCCGCAUGGCCCAUGGAAGAAAAGGUGGCCUCUACCUGUAAGCUAUCGCCUGAAGAGGGGUUUGCGUCUGAUUAGCUGGUUGGAGGGGUAACGGCCCACCAAGGCGACGAUCAGUAGCCGGUCUGAGAGGAUGAACGGCCACACUGGAACUGAGACACGGUCCAGACUCCUACGGGAGGCAGCAGUGGGGAAUCUUCCGCAAUAGGCGAAAGCCUGACGGAGCAACGCCGCGUGAGUGAUGACGGCCUUCGGGUUGUAAAACUCUGUGAUCCGGGACGAAAAGGCAGAGUGCGAAGAACAAACUGCAUUGACGGUACCGGAAAAGCAAGCCACGGCUAACUACGUG
RNAcentral lists this ribosomal RNA (512 nucleotides) under uncultured bacterium. RNAcentral's name for it is "partial 16S ribosomal RNA". It matches the Rfam family "Bacterial small subunit ribosomal RNA", at positions 30 to 507 of the family's 1533-position model. The record is from RNAcentral.